Molecule: ribosomal RNA, 1391 nt
Filed under: uncultured bacterium
Lineage: Bacteria
Description: 16S ribosomal RNA
Rfam family: Bacterial small subunit ribosomal RNA
Source: RNAcentral
GCUUAACACAUGCAAGUCGAGGGGCAGCGGGGAGGAAGCUUGCUUUCUCCGCCGGCGACCGGCGCACGGGUGAGUAACACGUAUGCAACCUGCCCCUGUCAGGGGGACAACCCGCCGAAAGGCGGGCUAAACCCGCGUACAUGCCACCGGGGCAUCCCGGAGGCAGGAAAGGCUUCGGCCGGACAGGGAUGGGCAUGCGGCGCAUUAGGCAGUAGGCGGGGUAACGGCCCACCUAACCGACGAUGCGUAGGGGUUCUGAGAGGAAGGUCCCCCACACUGGUACUGAGACACGGACCAGACUCCUACGGGAGGCAGCAGUGAGGAAUAUUGGUCAAUGGUCGGGAGACUGAACCAGCCAAGCCGCGUGAGGGAGGAAGGUACAGAGUAUCGUAAACCUCUUUUGUCAGGGAACAAAGACUGGGACGCGUCCCCGGAUGAGUGUACCUGAAGAAAAAGCAUCGGCUAACUCCGUGCCAGCAGCCGCGGUAAUACGGAGGAUGCGAGCGUUAUCCGGAUUUAUUGGGUUUAAAGGGUGCGCAGGCGGUCUGUUAAGUCAGCGGUCAAAGCCCGGGGCUCAACCCCGGCCCGCCGUUGAAACUGGCAGUCUCGAGUUGGAGAGAAGUAUGCGGAAUGCGCGGUGUAGCGGUGAAAUGCAUAGAUAUCGCGCAGAACUCCGAUUGCGAAGGCAGCAUGCCGGCUCCACACUGACGCUGAGGCACGAAAGCGUGGGUAUCGAACAGGAUUAGAUACCCUGGUAGUCCACGCAGUAAACGAUGAAUGCUGGCUGUCCGGGGGGGACUGACCCCUGGGUGGCGAAGCGAAAGCGAUAAGCAUUCCACCUGGGGAGUACGCCGGCAACGGUGAAACUCAAAGGAAUUGACGGGGGCCCGCACAAGCGGAGGAACAUGUGGUUUAAUUCGAUGAUACGCGAGGAACCUUACCCGGGCUCAAACGGGGAGUGACUCAGGCAGAGACGCCUGUUUCCCACGGGACACUCCCCGAGGUGCUGCAUGGUUGUCGUCAGCUCGUGCCGUGAGGUGUCGGCUUAAGUGCCAUAACGAGCGCAACCCCCGCGUGCAGUUGCUAACAGAUAACGCUGAGGACUCUGCACGGACUGCCGGCGCAAGCCGCGAGGAAGGCGGGGAUGACGUCAAAUCAGCACGGCCCUUACGUCCGGGGCGACACACGUGUUACAAUGGGUGGUACAGCGGGAAGCCAGGCGGCGACGCCGAGCGGAACCCGAAAUCCACUCUCAGUUCGGAUCGGAGUCUGCAACCCGACUCCGUGAAGCUGGAUUCGCUAGUAAUCGCGCAUCAGCCAUGGCGCGGUGAAUACGUUCCCGGGCCUUGUACACACCGCCCGUCAAGCCAUGGGAGCCGAGGGCGCUUGAA